RNAcentral lists this small RNA (332 nucleotides) under Histoplasma ohiense. RNAcentral describes it as "hypothetical lncRNA". The record is from RNAcentral. Lineage: Eukaryota; Fungi; Ascomycota; Eurotiomycetes; Onygenales; Ajellomycetaceae.
AACCUCACAUCUGGGGGUUUUACAUUCAUGGUGGCAAUUAAAGUACGGUGCUAAUCUGCUAUAUUGCCCCUUAAUAUCGUGCGUCAAAAUGCUUCGCUCGAUUGCUGGUUUUCAUUCUACCAUCGGAUGAACGUCCCUUGUCGUCCUCCAUUUCUGGACUGCUCUGUUCUGCGACUAGCGCCCACUUACUUGAGUAGCGCCAUCGGAAACUCUGGGGUUGUGGGCUUCGUAAUCCUGUCGUUUGCCAACAAUGCUGCAGCAUGACGUGAAUUCAUAGCAUAAAUUGAAUUUUCCACCCUCCUUGUUGGAAACAAACACUUCAUGUUCACCCU